This 579-nucleotide long non-coding RNA is filed under the name Nicotiana benthamiana. RNAcentral's name for it is "long non-coding RNA (NBEN_LNC015118)". Lineage: Eukaryota; Viridiplantae; Streptophyta; Magnoliopsida; Solanales; Solanaceae. The record is from RNAcentral.
GUAGAUCAUAGGUGGAACCAACAUGGUCUAGGUGGAGAUAAUUUUCGUGGACUCUGCCGAGAUUUGCACCCUGGUCCGGUUAGCCUGUUGCAUUGGAGUGGAAAGGGGAAGCCUUGGGUUCGACUCGAAUCGAACCAUCCUUGUCCCCUAGAUGCCCUCUGGGCACCUUAUGAUCUGCUGCAAACACCUUAUAAUCUUGAAUCUUAAGGUACUUUACUCAAUCCCAUAAUGCCGCGCUUAUUUGAAUUGUCUGAUCAUCUUAUUCAAUAGUCUUAUAAACUAUUAGAAAUAAUACAUAUUUUCGAACCGCCCUUGUCCCCUAGAUGCCCUCUGGGCACCUUAUGAUCUACUGCAAACACCUUAUACUCUUGAAUCUUAAGGUACUUUACUCAAUACUAUUACGCCGCGUUUGUUUGAAUUGUCUGAUCAUCUUAUUUAAUAGUCUUAUAAACUAUUAGAAAGAAUACAUAUUUUAUUUAUGACAGGCUUCUGCAGUUUAUGUAAUUAACCUGAUAAUUGCAUCUAAUGAUCUUUCUUAUGUUCUUGAAGUGCCCUAAUAGGCUUCUAUUAUUGUUUCAG